GGAAAGUUGAAAAGCACUCUGAAGAGAGAGUUAAAAGAACGUGAAAACGAUUAAGUGGAAGCAAACAGGUCUAUUUGAAGAUAUAUAGUUUUCUAUAUAUCUGCUAAUACAUAUGUAGAGCUAUUAUUAUUCUAUUUUAAGAGGACUCUAUAUGAGAACCCUUAUGAUGGUUGAACGUUGUCUCUGUAUAUGAAUAUUAGCAUUUAUGAUGGUUACCUGUUUGACC
This 226-nucleotide ribosomal RNA is filed under the name Halicephalobus gingivalis. RNAcentral's name for it is "partial 28S ribosomal RNA". The record is from RNAcentral. Lineage: Eukaryota; Metazoa; Nematoda; Chromadorea; Rhabditida; Panagrolaimidae.